UAGCCCCGAAAAUGGAUGGC
This 20-nucleotide non-coding RNA is filed under the name Arabidopsis thaliana (thale cress). The record is from RNAcentral. Lineage: Eukaryota; Viridiplantae; Streptophyta; Magnoliopsida; Brassicales; Brassicaceae.